UAAUCGGAUUACUGGGCGUAAAGCGCGCGUAGGUGGUUUGUUAAGUUGGAUGUGAAAGCCCCGGGCUCAACCUGGGAACUGCAUCCAAAACUGGCAAGCUAGAGUACGGUAGAGGGUGGUGGAAUUUCCUGUGUAGCGGUGAAAUGCGUAGAUAUAGGAAGGAACACCAGUGGCGAAGGCGACCACCUGGACUGAUACUGACACUGAGGUGCGAAAGCGUGGGGAGCAAACAGG
This 234-nucleotide ribosomal RNA is filed under the name bacterium. Its description in RNAcentral is "partial 16S ribosomal RNA". It matches the Rfam family "Bacterial small subunit ribosomal RNA", at positions 548 to 776 of the family's 1533-position model. The record is from RNAcentral.